This 288-nucleotide non-coding RNA is filed under the name Saimiri boliviensis boliviensis (Bolivian squirrel monkey). Lineage: Eukaryota; Metazoa; Chordata; Mammalia; Primates; Cebidae. The record is from RNAcentral.
GGGCAUGGUGGCACACCUCUAGUCCCAGCCACUUGGGAGGCUAAGGUGAGAGGAUUGCAUGAGCCCUGGAGUCCUGGGCUGUAGAAAGUUAUGCUGAUCAGGAGUCCAUACUAGGUUCAGCAUCAAUAUGGUGACCUUCUGGGAGCAGGGGACCACCAGGUUGCCUACGGAGGGGUGAACAGAUCUGCCCAGGACAGAAAUGGAACAGAUUAAAUAAGCCAUUUUGAUCGAUACACAGGUGAUUUCUGGUUACUUAGGCACUAGCUAGGAGGGCAGAAAAGCUGUCCA